GGGUUGUGAGGUUAAGCGACUAAGCGUACACGGUGGAUGCCCUGGCAGUCAGAGGCGAUGAAGGACGUGCUAAUCUGCGAUAAGCGCCGGUAAGGUGAUAUGAACCGUUAUAACCGGCGAUUUCCGAAUGGGGAAACCCAGUGUGACUCGUCACACUAUCAUUAACUGAAUCCAUAGGUUAAUGAGGCGAACCGGGGGAACUGAAACAUCUAAGUACCCCGAGGAAAAGAAAUCAACCGAGAUUCCCCCAGUAGCGGCGAGCGAACGGGGAGGAGCCCAGAGCCUGAAUCAGCAUGUGUGUUAGUGGAAGCGUCUGGAAAGGCGCGCGAUACAGGGUGACAGCCCCGUACACAAAAGCGCAUGUGUUGUGAGCUCGAUGAGUAGGGCGGGACACGUGGUAUCCUGUCUGAAUAUGGGGGGACCAUCCUCCAAGGCUAAAUACUCCUGACUGACCGAUAGUGAACCAGUACCGUGAGGGAAAGGCGAAAAGAACCCCGGCGAGGGGAGUGAAAAAGAACCUGAAACCGUGUACGUACAAGCAGUGGGAGCCCCACCACUAAGCCAGUGGUGAACUCCACAUACGCAUCCUUUGCUGAAGGUGCGGUUAACGGAGCGCAAGCGACGUUCAACCUCAAAAGAAGCAGAGGGGGCUUAGUGGUGGGGUGACUGCGUACCUUUUGUAUAAUGGGUCAGCGACUUAUAUUCUGUAGCAA
RNAcentral lists this ribosomal RNA (713 nucleotides) under Salmonella enterica. RNAcentral describes it as "partial 23S ribosomal RNA". It matches the Rfam family "Bacterial large subunit ribosomal RNA", at positions 1 to 643 of the family's 2925-position model. Lineage: Bacteria; Pseudomonadati; Pseudomonadota; Gammaproteobacteria; Enterobacterales; Enterobacteriaceae. The record is from RNAcentral. RNAcentral also lists the same sequence under 1 other name.